CAGUAGCCACGGGAAUACGAAGGGGGCUAGCGUUGUUCGGAUUUACUGGGCGUAAAGGGUGCGUAGGCGGAUUGUUAAGUCGGGGGUGAAAUCCCGAGGCUCAACCUCGGAACUGCCUUUGAUACUGGCGAUCUUGAGUCCGGGAGAGGUGAGUGGAACUGCGAGUGUAGAGGUGAAAUUCGUAGAUAUUCGCAAGAACACCGGUGGCGUAGGCGGCUCACUGGCCCGGUACUGACGCUGAGGCACGAAAGCGUGGGGAGCAAACAGGAUUAGAUACCCGAGUAGUCCCUGUCUCUUAUAC
RNAcentral lists this ribosomal RNA (301 nucleotides) under uncultured bacterium. RNAcentral describes it as "partial 16S ribosomal RNA". It matches the Rfam family "Bacterial small subunit ribosomal RNA", at positions 509 to 807 of the family's 1533-position model. The record is from RNAcentral.